Molecule: small nuclear RNA, 164 nt
Organism: Cebus imitator (Panamanian white-faced capuchin)
Lineage: Eukaryota; Metazoa; Chordata; Mammalia; Primates; Cebidae
Gene: U1
Rfam family: U1 spliceosomal RNA
About the family: U1 is a small nuclear RNA (snRNA) component of the spliceosome (involved in pre-mRNA splicing). Its 5' end forms complementary base pairs with the 5' splice junction, thus defining the 5' donor site of an intron.
Source: Ensembl
AUACUUACCUGGCAGGGGAGACACCAUGAUCACGAAGGUGGUUUUCCCAGGGCGAGGCUUAUCCAUUGCACUCCGGAUGUGCUGACCCCUGCGAUUUCCCCAAAUGUGGGAAACUCGACUGCAUAAUUUGUGGUAGUGGGGGACUGCGUUCGCGCUCUCCCCUG